Molecule: ribosomal RNA, 906 nt
Filed under: Microbacterium aurantiacum
Lineage: Bacteria; Bacillati; Actinomycetota; Actinomycetes; Micrococcales; Microbacteriaceae
Description: bacterial SSU rRNA
Rfam family: Bacterial small subunit ribosomal RNA
Source: RNAcentral
CGCUGGCGGCGUGCUUAACACAUGCAAGUCGAACGGUGAAGCCAAGCUUGCUUGGUGGAUCAGUGGCGAACGGGUGAGUAACACGUGAGCAACCUGCCCUGAACUCUGGGAUAAGCGCUGGAAACGGCGUCUAAUACUGGAUAUGAGCUGCGGAGGCAUCUUCGUGGUUGGAAAGAUUUUUCGGUUUGGGAUGGGCUCGCGGCCUAUCAGCUUGUUGGUGAGGUAAUGGCUCACCAAGGCGUCGACGGGUAGCCGGCCUGAGAGGGUGACCGGCCACACUGGGACUGAGACACGGCCCAGACUCCUACGGGAGGCAGCAGUGGGGAAUAUUGCACAAUGGGCGGAAGCCUGAUGCAGCAACGCCGCGUGAGGGAUGACGGCCUUCGGGUUGUAAACCUCUUUUAGCAGGGAAGAAGCGAAAGUGACGGUACCUGCAGAAAAAGCGCCGGCUAACUACGUGCCAGCAGCCGCGGUAAUACGUAGGGCGCAAGCGUUAUCCGGAAUUAUUGGGCGUAAAGAGCUCGUAGGCGGUUUGUCGCGUCUGCUGUGAAAUCUGGGGGCUCAACCCCCAGCCUGCAGUGGGUACGGGCAGACUAGAGUGCGGUAGGGGAGAUUGGAAUUCCUGGUGUAGCGGUGGAAUGCGCAGAUAUCAGGAGGAACACCGAUGGCGAAGGCAGAUCUCUGGGCCGUAACUGACGCUGAGGAGCGAAAGGGUGGGGAGCAAACAGGCUUAGAUACCCUGGUAGUCCACCCCGUAAACGUUGGGAACUAGUUGUGGGGUCCAUUCCACGGAUUCCGUGACGCAGCUAACGCAUUAAGUUCCCCGCCUGGGGAGUACGGCCGCAAGGCUAAAACUCAAAGGAAUUGACGGGGACCCGCACAAGCGGCGGAGCAUGCGGAUUAAUU